RNAcentral lists this ribosomal RNA (443 nucleotides) under uncultured bacterium. RNAcentral's name for it is "bacterial SSU rRNA". It matches the Rfam family "Bacterial small subunit ribosomal RNA", at positions 29 to 490 of the family's 1533-position model. The record is from RNAcentral.
AGCGAACGCUAGCGGCGGGCCUAACACAUGCAAGUCGAGCGGGGAGCAAUCCCAGCGGCGAACGGGUGAGUAACACGUAGGUAAUGUGCCUUUUGGUGGGGAAUAACCGUGGGAAACCAUGGCUAAUACCGCAUAUCGUGCUUCGGCAUGAAAGCUUCUGAGGCAACUCGGGGGCGCCAGUUGAGCAGCCUGCGUCCCAUUAUUUAGUCCUAGUUGGUAGGGUAAUGGCCUACCAAGGGUACGAUGGGUAGCUGGUCUGAGAGGAUGAUCAGCCACACUGGGACUGAGAUACGGCCCAGACUCCUACGGGAGGCAGCAGUGGGGAAUAUUGCACAAUGGGCGCAAGCCUGAUGCAGCGACGCCGCGUGAGGGAUGACGGCCUUCGGUUGUAAACCGUCUUCAAUAGGACGAAGACGCAAGUGACGGUACCGUACUAGAAGAAG